Molecule: long non-coding RNA, 1103 nt
Organism: Magallana angulata
Lineage: Eukaryota; Metazoa; Mollusca; Bivalvia; Ostreida; Ostreidae
Exons: 3
Source: RefSeq, a predicted model, not a curated record
UGAAAAUUGUUGAUUUGAAUAAAUAAAUAAAGUUAUUGUAAUUAAUACAUCUAAACAUUACACAUAUAAAAAGUUAGAUCCACCCUUUCUUUUAAUUCAUACACAUGUACAUAUACCCUUAGGGCAGUGCUUGAUCAUGAGUUGGUCAGUGGAUAUUUGUGAUCUUGGUUUUUAUUGGUUGUUUGUGUCAGGUUGAAUUUGGUUGGUUUGUAUAUUUUGCUUUAUGUGUUUUACCGCCAAGUUUGACAAUCUUUGUCUGGACAUUGACCAGAGCAGACUUUAUAUUUAUAUAGAGAAGUAAUUUAAUUUUGGACCAGACCUUGCUCUUUUUCUGAAUCAGUCAAUGUCAAUAUAAUUUCACCACGCAUUCGGUGUACGUUUUAUGAGCCUGUUCCCAUAGAAUGGGCUUAAAUAUACAUUGCAAAUUUUAAAGUCACUGUGUCCGGAUACGAAUAAACGAACCAUACAGAUAUCUUUGUUGUCAGUUAUUUUAAACAAAGACUGUAACAUUUUGGCGCCCACGUUGGGGCACAGUGACUUUAUAUGUAAUUGGAGCUGGAAAGACUUCACCAACCCUACCCAGUAAACUGUGAACCAUGACGACCAUUGCCAGUGUAUUCCUAUUGAACCAUGACUAGUGUUCCGCGCCUGUGUUCCUAAAUUGACUGGGAUCCGCGCAUCUAUUGUUAUUUCUAGGAUCAGCUGUUCAACUCAUCGACAGAGUACAACACGUGCAAACAAACUGUGUAUCUCACCUGGUGAGUCGUAUAGAUAUAAGACUUUGGUGCACCAUAUUGACAUUAGUAAUUUGUGUGCGCGCAUAUAUGCAUACUUUACCUCAAGGUAGACAAGUCUUGAUUUAUUAUAAUUCAUAAAACUGUUGAAAAAAUUGGUAUACCACAAAGCAUGUAAAUCUGUGAUUUCUUUAGUUUGACAGUGCACUUUAGUAUAAGUUAUCCGGAUUUAAAUACCUGUGUAAUAUUGAUUGAGACAGGGUUGCGUUUGGCCACAAUCCUUAAACCAUUUUUUUGUUGAGAUAUAUUUUUGCCCUUUAUUGUGUAUUGAUCAUUUGAAUUUGAAAUUAAGAACAACAAUAGCAAGAA